RNAcentral lists this ribosomal RNA (652 nucleotides) under Escherichia coli. RNAcentral describes it as "partial 23S ribosomal RNA". It matches the Rfam family "Bacterial large subunit ribosomal RNA", at positions 609 to 1261 of the family's 2925-position model. The record is from RNAcentral. Lineage: Bacteria; Pseudomonadati; Pseudomonadota; Gammaproteobacteria; Enterobacterales; Enterobacteriaceae.
UGUAUAAUGGGUCAGCGACUUAUAUUCUGUAGCAAGGUUAACCGAAUAGGGGAGCCGAAGGGAAACCGAGUCUUAACUGGGCGUUAAGUUGCAGGGUAUAGACCCGAAACCCGGUGAUCUAGCCAUGGGCAGGUUGAAGGUUGGGUAACACUAACUGGAGGACCGAACCGACUAAUGUUGAAAAAUUAGCGGAUGACUUGUGGCUGGGGGUGAAAGGCCAAUCAAACCGGGAGAUAGCUGGUUCUCCCCGAAAGCUAUUUAGGUAGCGCCUCGUGAAUUCAUCUCCGGGGGUAGAGCACUGUUUCGGCAAGGGGGUCAUCCCGACUUACCAACCCGAUGCAAACUGCGAAUACCGGAGAAUGUUAUCACGGGAGACACACGGCGGGUGCUAACGUCCGUCGUGAAGAGGGAAACAACCCAGACCGCCAGCUAAGGUCCCAAAGUCAUGGUUAAGUGGGAAACGAUGUGGGAAGGCCCAGACAGCCAGGAUGUUGGCUUAGAAGCAGCCAUCAUUUAAAGAAAGCGUAAUAGCUCACUGGUCGAGUCGGCCUGCGCGGAAGAUGUAACGGGGCUAAACCAUGCACCGAAGCUGCGGCAGCGACACUAUGUGUUGUUGGGUAGGGGAGCGUUCUGUAAGCCUGCGAAGGUGUAC